AUUGAACGCUGGCGGCAGGCCUAAAACAUGCAAGUCGAGCGAGAGGCGGACGGGGGAGGAAUGUCUGGGAAACUGCCUGAUGGAGGGGGAUAACAACUGGAAAAGGUAGCUAAUACCGCAUACCAUCAGAUGUGCCCAGAUGGGAUUAGCUAGUAGGUGGGGUAACGGCUCACCUAGGCGACGAUCCCUAGCUGGUCUGAGAGGAUGACCAGCCACACGGGAAUUGAGACAUGGUCCAUACUCCUACGUGAGGCAGCAGUGGUGAAUAUUGCACAAUGGGCGCAAUCCUGAUGCAGCCAUGCCGCGUGUGUGAAGAAGUCCUUCGGGUUGUAAAGCACUUUCAGCGGGGAGGCGUUACCCGCAGAAGAAGCACCGGCUAACUCCGUGCCAGCAGCCGCGGUAAUUC
This 406-nucleotide ribosomal RNA is filed under the name uncultured bacterium. RNAcentral's name for it is "partial 16S ribosomal RNA". It matches the Rfam family "Bacterial small subunit ribosomal RNA", at positions 30 to 526 of the family's 1533-position model. The record is from RNAcentral.